Molecule: long non-coding RNA, 368 nt
Organism: Hemicordylus capensis (graceful crag lizard)
Lineage: Eukaryota; Metazoa; Chordata; Lepidosauria; Squamata; Cordylidae
Exons: 3
Source: RefSeq, a predicted model, not a curated record
AGGGAAUGUACAUGGAACUGGAUUUCCCGGUUCGGUUUGAAUUCAAACGGAAUCUUAACAGAAGUGGGCAACUUGUGCUCACAGCUCGUGCUCUGGCUCAAUCGAGCCAUGGUCCAGUCCAGUCCGACCAUCGAGCCUCCCAAGCCAGCUUAAAUAACUAUGAGUAACCAGUUUUGGCCAAAAGCUGAUCCCUUGUCUGGUUCAUACAUAUAAUUUCUUUAAAAGAGGGAAACUUAUCAGACAGCUGCAGCAGUUCAGCUUGCAGAAACGAAGAAUGUCAUUUUCAAGAAUACCAGAGCAUUUAGUUCUUGAGGUCAAAGACAUCAAACUGCAUUAAUGCAAUCCCCAUUUCAUCUAAAAAUUGUUGU